AGAGUUUGAUCCUGGCUCAGAUUGAACGCUGGCGGCAUGCCUUACACAUGCAAGUCGAACGGCAGCACGGGAGCAAUCCUGGUGGCGAGUGGCGAACGGGUGAGUAAUAUAUCGGAACGUGCCCAGUCGUGGGGGAUAACGUAGAGAAAUUUACGCUAAUACCGCAUACGAUCUAAGGAUGAAAGCGGGGGACCGUAAGGCCUCGCGCGAUUGGAGCGGCUGAUAUCAGAUUAGGUUGUUGGUGAGGUAAAAGCUCACCAAGCCGACGAUCUGUAGCUGGUUUGAGAGAACGACCAGCCACACUGGGACUGAGACACGGCCCAGACUCCUACGGGAGGCAGCAGUGGGGAAUUUUGGACAAUGGGCGAAAGCCUGAUCCAGCAAUGCCGCGUGCAGGAAGAAGGCCUUCGGGUUGUAAACUGCUUUUGUACGGAACGAAAAGGUCUGCCCUAAUACGGCGGGCCCAUGACGGUACCGUAAGAAUAAGCACCGGCUAACUACGUGCCAGCAGCCGCGGUAAUACGUAGGGUGCGAGCGUUAAUCGGAAUUACUGGGCGUAAAGCGUGCGCAGGCGGUG
RNAcentral lists this ribosomal RNA (577 nucleotides) under uncultured bacterium. RNAcentral describes it as "bacterial SSU rRNA". It matches the Rfam family "Bacterial small subunit ribosomal RNA", at positions 8 to 580 of the family's 1533-position model. The record is from RNAcentral.